Molecule: ribosomal RNA, 430 nt
Filed under: uncultured bacterium
Lineage: Bacteria
Description: partial 16S ribosomal RNA
Rfam family: Bacterial small subunit ribosomal RNA
Source: RNAcentral
UGGGGAAUAUUGGACAAUGGGGGGCAACCCUGAUCCAGCAAUGCCGCGUGUGUGAAGAAGGUCUUCGGAUUGUAAAGCACUUUCGACGGGGACGAUGAUGACGGUACCCGUAGAAGAAGCCCCGGCUAACUUCGUGCCAGCAGCCGCGGUAAUACGAAGGGGGCUAGCGUUGCUCGGAAUGACUGGGCGUAAAGGGCGUGUAGGCGGUUUACACAGUCAGAUGUGAGAUCCCCGGGCUUAACCUGGGAGCUGCAUUUGAUACGUGUAGACUAGAGUGUGAGAGAGGGUUGUGGAAUUCCCAGUGUAGAGGUGAAAUUCGUAGAUAUUGGGAAGAACACCGGUGGCGAAGGCGGCAACCUGGCUCAUGACUGACGCUGAGGCGCGAAAGCGUGGGGAGCAAACAGGAUUAGAUACCCUGGUAGUCCACGCU